Molecule: unclassified non-coding RNA, 329 nt
Filed under: soil metagenome
Description: partial contains 5.8S ribosomal RNA, internal transcribed spacer 2, and large subunit ribosomal RNA
Rfam family: 5.8S ribosomal RNA (bases 1-120)
Source: RNAcentral
GAUGAAGAACGUAGCGAAAUGCGAUAAGUAAUGUGAAUUGCAGAAUUCAGUGAAUCAUCGAAUCUUUGAACGCACAUUGCGCCCCCUGGUAUUCCGGGGGGCUUGCCUGUCCGAGCGUCAUUACAACCCUCAAGCUCAGCUUGGUGUUGGGCCCCGCCGCCCCGGCGGGCCCUAAAGUCAGUGGCGGUGCCGUCCGGCUCCGAGCGUAGUAAUUCUUCUCGCUCUGGAGGUCCGGUCGUGUGCUCGCCAGCAACCCCCAAUUUUUUUCAGGUUGACCUCGGAUCAGGUAGGGAUACCCGCUGAACUUAAGCAUAUCAAUAAGCGGAGGA